AUCCUACUCCCUCCGUUCGGAAUUAUUCGUCCAAAAAAUAAAUGUAUCUAUGUAUUUUAGUUAUAGAUACAUUCAUUUUUAUCCAUUUUUAUGACAAGUAAUUCCGAACGGAGGAAGUACUAC
Molecule: non-coding RNA, 123 nt
Organism: Triticum aestivum (bread wheat)
Lineage: Eukaryota; Viridiplantae; Streptophyta; Magnoliopsida; Poales; Poaceae
Source: Rfam